GACACGGCGCCAAGCGCUACGUACGGGAUAAAGCCAAAUUUCCGCACCGGAGCUCACCACUCUAUACCUUGGAGCAGCUCUAGUGAAAAACGUUUACAAGCUGUAGUGUUGGCAGAAGAGCCAACACCGUCUUGCUAGAGGAGGCCGAAAUGCAAGCGUUUUAACUCACGCAGGCUGGCGUGAGGUCUGGAACAGAUGCUGCUGUAGUACUUCCACCCUCUUCUGCAUCACACUGUCCAAUGCAGAGGAGGAAGUUGGUUUAGGUGUUGAAGGUUUGGAGAAGGUUUGGUGAACAUUCUCCAUAACAACCUGUGCUGGGAUCAGGCUUUCGCCAGCUUCAGCAGCAAUUACAGUUUCAUUACUAUUUGUGGUACUGCUGGCAUCGCCAACAGCUGCAUCAUCAACUACAUCUACAUUUAGAUCCAUUAUUACACAGCACUGUGCAACCGAAUCAAAGUUAUUUUCCAGUGGCUUCAAUGAUGAGCCAACUAUUUCCAGUAGUUUUGCCUCGUGUGGACUCUUUUUAGGUACUGGUACUGGCUUCCCUCCUCCUGUUUUAUAGACUUGAACGUUCUCUUCAGCCAAAUCCCCCUGCAACCUCCUCUUCAAAUUCUCGUAACAUGUUUUAAGCCUUUCAGGCCUUCUUUUUGUU
Molecule: long non-coding RNA, 652 nt
Organism: Schistocerca nitens (vagrant locust)
Lineage: Eukaryota; Metazoa; Arthropoda; Insecta; Orthoptera; Acrididae
Exons: 3
Source: RefSeq, a predicted model, not a curated record